UAUCCGCCAGAAGAUUACGAGCGAAAAGCUUAAAACUCAAAGGACUUGGCGGCGCCCCACACCGACUUAGAGGAGCCUGUCCUAUAAUCGAUACCCCACGCUAAACCUCACCAGUCUUUGCCAAAUUCAGCCUAUAUACCGCCGUCGCCAACCUACCUUAUGAAAGAAAAAUAGUAAGUAUAAAAGUCUAACAACUAAAACGUCAGGUCAAGGUGUAGCUAAUAGAAUGGUAGAGAUGGGCUACAUUUUUUAAGAUAAAAUAUAACGGCACGGUAUUAUGAAACUUCUACCCAAAGGUGGAUUUAAUAGUAAAACUAACAAGAAAGUUAG
RNAcentral lists this ribosomal RNA (330 nucleotides) under Sceloporus arenicolus (Dunes sagebrush lizard). Its description in RNAcentral is "partial 12S ribosomal RNA". It matches the Rfam family "Bacterial small subunit ribosomal RNA", at positions 866 to 1360 of the family's 1533-position model. The record is from RNAcentral. Lineage: Eukaryota; Metazoa; Chordata; Lepidosauria; Squamata; Phrynosomatidae.